UAUAAAGAGAAGUAGAGAACACCAUUUCAAUUUAGAGAGAUACAGGCUAAGCAAAUUGUUCCUUGCAUUCCUAUGAGCAGUCAUCUCAUUAUAUAGUUGCACAUACACCACAACAUGGGGGAACUGAUCUGCAGAUAAAGACGGUCCCAGCAUUAUGGUUACACAAAAUUUUGAUUUAAUAUCAUUUUUCAGCACCUCACCAUAAAAACUUUCACAGCAUAGAAUCUGUUAAAUGAUACUAGAAAAAGCUGAACCAUAUUUG
This 262-nucleotide unclassified non-coding RNA is filed under the name Hevea brasiliensis (rubber tree). The record is from RNAcentral. Lineage: Eukaryota; Viridiplantae; Streptophyta; Magnoliopsida; Malpighiales; Euphorbiaceae.